RNAcentral lists this ribosomal RNA (449 nucleotides) under Vishniacozyma carnescens. RNAcentral describes it as "eukaryotic LSU rRNA". The stretch from base 142 to 295 matches the Rfam family "5.8S ribosomal RNA". The record is from RNAcentral. Lineage: Eukaryota; Fungi; Basidiomycota; Tremellomycetes; Tremellales; Bulleribasidiaceae.
CAUUAAUAAUGCUCUCUGGCUUCGGUCAGCUGAGUUCAAUGAGUGCCUUCUCUUCGGAGUUGGCCAUCCACACACACCGUGAACUGUGGCUUCGGCCAUCACAAACUGUUAGUAAUGAAUGUAAUAUCAUAACAAAAACAAAACUUUUAACAACGGAUCUCUUGGCUCUCGCAUCGAUGAAGAACGCAGCGAAAUGCGAUAAGUAAUGUGAAUUGCAGAAUUCAGUGAAUCAUCGAAUCUUUGAACGCACCUUGCGCCCUUUGGUAUUCCGAAGGGCAUGCCUGUUUGAGUGUCAUGAAACCUCACCCCACUUGGGUUUUUGCCUGAGCGGUGGUGUAUUGGGUGUUGCCUUGCCAAAGGCUCGCCUUAAAAACAUAAGCACCUUGGAUGUAAUACGUUUCAUCCUUUCGGGUGGCUGAUAACCCCACAUAUUCAUGAUCUGGCCUCAA